GACGAACGCUGACGGUGUGCUUUAGACAUGCAAGUCGAACGAGAAAGCCCUUCGGGGUUAGUAAAGUGGCGGAACGGGUGAGUAACACGUGGGCAAUCUGCCCCUCGCAGGGGGACAACCGGAGGAAACUCCGGCUAAUACCCCGUAGGUUCAAAGGGAGGCAUCUCUCUUCGAAGAAAGGUAGCUUCGGCCAUCCGGCGAGGGAUGAGCCCGCGGUGCAUUAGCUAGUUGGUGGGGUAACGCCUACCAAGGCGACGAUGCAUAGCUGGUCUGAGAGGAUGAUCAGCCACACUGGGACUGAGACACGGCCCAGACUCCUACGGGAGGCAGCAGUCGGGAAUCUUGCGCAAUGGGCGAAAGCCUGACGCAGCAACACCGUGUGUGUGAGGAAGGCCC
Molecule: ribosomal RNA, 396 nt
Filed under: uncultured bacterium
Lineage: Bacteria
Description: bacterial SSU rRNA
Rfam family: Bacterial small subunit ribosomal RNA
Source: RNAcentral